UGAGAGUUUGAUCCUGGCUCAGGACGAACGCUGGCGGCGUGCCUAAUGCAUGCAAGUCGAGCGGGCUACGAUCUUCGGAUUGUAGCUUAGCGGCGAACGGGUGAGUAACACGUAGGUAAUCUACCCUUCAGAGGAGGACAACCUCAGGAAACUGAGGCUAAACCUUCAUACGUUCACUGGUAGGGAUACUGGUGAAGAAAGAGCUACCGUCGAGGUAGUUGCUGAAGGAUGAGCCUGCGGCCCAUCAGGUAGUUGGUGAGGUAACGGCUCACCAAGCCGAAGACGGGUAACCGGUCUGAGAGGAUGUCCGGUCACACUGGGACUGAGACACGGCCCAGACUCCUACGGGAGGCAGCAGCAGGGAAUCUUGGGCAAUGGGCGAAAGCCUGACCCAGCGACGCCGCGUGGAGGAAGAAGUCCUUCGGGGCGUAAACUCCUGGACUGGGGGACGAGAAAGGACGGUACCCCAGUAGAAAGGGACGGCUAACUACGUGCCAGCAGCCGCGGUAAAACGUAGGUCCCGAGCGUUGUUCGGAUUCACUGGGUGUAAAGGGCGCGUAGGUGGUUGUCUGUGUCUCAUGUGAAAACUCAGGGCUCAACUCUGAGAUUGCGUGGGAAACUAGGCAGCUAGAGGACGGUAGAGGGGAGUGGAAUUCCCGGUGUAGCGGUAAAUGCGUAGAUAUCGGGAGGAACACCGGUGGCGAAAGCGGCUCUCUGGGCCGAUCCUGACGCUGAGGCGCGAAAGCUAGGGGAGCGAACCGGAUUAGAUACCCCGGUAGUCCUAGCCGUAAACGAUGGGUGCUAGUGUUGGGGGGGUAAAGACCCUUCAGUGCCGAAGCCAACGCGAUAAGCAUCCCACCUGGGGAGUACGGCCGCAACGUUGAAACUCAACGAUUGGCGGGGGUCGCACAAGCGGCGGAGCAUGUGUUU
Molecule: ribosomal RNA, 930 nt
Filed under: uncultured Coprothermobacter sp.
Lineage: Bacteria; Pseudomonadati; Coprothermobacterota; Coprothermobacteria; Coprothermobacterales; Coprothermobacteraceae
Description: bacterial SSU rRNA
Rfam family: Bacterial small subunit ribosomal RNA
Source: RNAcentral